UACGUAGGAGACGAGCGUUGUCCGGAGUUACUGGGCGUAAAGGGUGCGCAGGUGGCGGCGCGCGUGGGGGGUGAAAUCGCCCGGCUUAACUGGGCGGGGGCCUUCCAGACGGCGUGGCUUGAGCAGCGGAGGGGGACGUGGAAUUCCGGGUGGAGCGGUGAAAUGCGUAGAGAUCCGGAGGAACACCGACGGCGCAGGCAGCGUCCUGGGCCGCUU
RNAcentral lists this ribosomal RNA (216 nucleotides) under uncultured bacterium. RNAcentral describes it as "partial 16S ribosomal RNA". It matches the Rfam family "Bacterial small subunit ribosomal RNA", at positions 524 to 738 of the family's 1533-position model. The record is from RNAcentral.